AUUGUCAAAUAAAAAAAAAAAAGGGUAAGGGUUAGCAUCGGAGUACAGCACACCCGGUAUACGCUAAAAACGCUCACUUUUACACACGUAUAACUUCUGAACCAAUGAAUUCCGCGCCUUGAAACUUGGAUUUUUAGAUUCUAUACGUAAAAUACUUCAAGAAGGUAAAAAAAAAGGCCAUAAUUUUUGGGCCCCUGAGGAACUUACCAUUCCAAAAGUGAAUAUCGAAGGAUACACGCGUACAUUAUAUAUUUGCAAAGGGGACAAAGGUAUUAAUACUUCGGUAUUAAUACUAGACGGUAAACGAAGGAGUCUAUCUAGUAUUUCGCUGUCCGGCUCUUCUGGGACUUGGCUUUUCAUUGUAUCCUGAAAAUAAAAUAAA
Molecule: long non-coding RNA, 382 nt
Organism: Osmia bicornis bicornis
Lineage: Eukaryota; Metazoa; Arthropoda; Insecta; Hymenoptera; Megachilidae
Exons: 3
Source: RefSeq, a predicted model, not a curated record